GAUGAACGCUGGCGGCAGGCUUAAUACAUGCAAGUCGAACGGUAAGGCCGGAGGUAGCAAUACCGAGGGUACACGAGUGGCGCACGGGUGCGUAACGCGUAUGUAAUCUGCCCCUGACCGGAACAAAACAGCUGGAAACGGCUGCUAAUAUUCCAUGGCCAUCUUCCCGGGCAUCCGGGGUGAUGUAAAGAUUCAUUGGUCGGGGAUGAGCAUGCGUAUUAUUAGGUAGUUGGUGGGGUAAAGGCCCACCAAGCCGACGAUGAUUAGGGGUCCUGAGAGGGUUAACCCCCACACUGGAACUGAGACACGGUCCAGACUCC
RNAcentral lists this ribosomal RNA (320 nucleotides) under uncultured Bacteroidales bacterium. Its description in RNAcentral is "bacterial SSU rRNA". It matches the Rfam family "Bacterial small subunit ribosomal RNA", at positions 28 to 339 of the family's 1533-position model. The record is from RNAcentral. Lineage: Bacteria; Pseudomonadati; Bacteroidota; Bacteroidia; Bacteroidales.